GGGUAUAGCUCAGUGGUAGAGCAUCUGCUUAGCAUGCAUGAGGUCCUGGGUUCAACCCCCAGUACCACCA
Molecule: transfer RNA, 70 nt
Filed under: Camelus bactrianus (Bactrian camel)
Lineage: Eukaryota; Metazoa; Chordata; Mammalia; Artiodactyla; Camelidae
Also listed under: 3 other names
Rfam family: tRNA
About the family: Transfer RNA (tRNA) molecules are approximately 80 nucleotides in length. Their secondary structure includes four short double-helical elements and three loops (D, anti-codon, and T loops). Further hydrogen bonds mediate the characteristic L-shaped molecular structure. tRNAs have two regions of fundamental functional importance: the anti-codon, which is responsible for specific mRNA codon recognition, and the 3' end, to which the tRNAs corresponding amino acid is attached (by aminoacyl-tRNA synthetases). tRNAs cope with the degeneracy of the genetic code in two manners: having more than one tRNA (with a specific anti-codon) for a particular amino acid; and 'wobble' base-pairing, i.e. permitting non-standard base-pairing at the 3rd anti-codon position.
Source: Rfam by way of RNAcentral